UAGUCCACGCCGUAAACGAUGAUUACUGGUUGUUUGCGAUAUAUUGUAAGCGACUGAGCGAAAGCAUUAAGUAAUCCACCUGGGGAGUACGUUCGCAAGAAUGAAACUCAAAGGAAUUGACGGGGGCCCGCACAAGCGGAGGAACAUGUGGUUUAAUUCGAUGAUACGCGAGGAACCUUACCUGGGCUCAAACGUUAGUGACCGCAGUCGAAAGAUUGCUUCCCUUCGGGGCACGAAACGAGGUGCUGCAUGGCUGUCGUCAGCUCGUGCCGUGAGGUGUCGGGUUAAGUCCCAUAACGAGCGCAACCCCUAUCACUAGUUGCCAGCGAGUCAAGUCGGGGACUCUAGUGAGACUGCCACCGUAAGGUGUGAGGAAGGUGGGGAUGACGUCAAGUCAGCACGGGCCCUUACGUCCAGGGGCUACACACGUGUUACAAUGGUCGGGUACAGAGGGGCA
Molecule: ribosomal RNA, 457 nt
Filed under: uncultured bacterium
Lineage: Bacteria
Description: bacterial SSU rRNA
Rfam family: Bacterial small subunit ribosomal RNA
Source: RNAcentral